UACGUAGGGUGCAAGCGUUAUCCGGAUUUACUGGGUUUAAAGGGUGCGUAGGUGGGUAAGUAAGUCAGUGGUGAAAUCUUCGAGCUUAACUCGGAAACUGCCAUUGAUACUAUUUGUCUUGAAUACUGUGGAGGUCAGCGGAAUAUGUCAUGUAGCGGUGAAAUGCUUAGAUAUGACAUAGAACACCAAUUGCGAAGGCAGCUGGCUACACAAAUAUUGACACUGAGGCACGAAAGCGUGGGGAUCAAACAGG
Molecule: ribosomal RNA, 253 nt
Filed under: uncultured bacterium
Lineage: Bacteria
Description: partial 16S ribosomal RNA
Rfam family: Bacterial small subunit ribosomal RNA
Source: RNAcentral